This is a non-coding RNA of Pelobates cultripes (western spadefoot toad), 603 nucleotides long. Lineage: Eukaryota; Metazoa; Chordata; Amphibia; Anura; Pelobatidae. The record is from the annotation of a GenBank genome assembly.
UUUUUUAUUUGUUUUUGUUUUGUUUUUUUCCAUUUUAAUUGGGGUAGCCCCCAAAAUAUUGGGACAAAUAAAAAAAGAAACAUUUGUGGCCUGUUGUGCAUUUCUUGCAGUCCUGAUUCAUGGAUAAAUGCUCAACUCCUGAUACAUGGAGAAAAGGCCUUCACAAGCCUCUGCUAUUGUGUACAUCACAAGGGCCACCCAGAACUGGAUCAACUCCCAUCAAGCCAAGUUUCCGGAGGAGAUCACCCAGCUCGUCAUGCUAGAGCACUUUUUCAAUGUGCUCCACAACGAGAAGGCGACGACGCAUUCGUAUGUCAAUCCAUAUCAACUUUCGAUGCCAUUGGUGACCACGGGUAAUGGGGAAUUAGGGUUUGAUUCCGUAUAGGGACCCUAAUAAACGGCUACCACAUGCAGGGAAGGCAGCAGGCGCGCAAAUGACCCACUCCCGACGCGGGAAGGUAGUGACGACAAAUAACAAUACAGGACUCUUUAGAGGCCCUGUAAUUGUAAUGAGUCCACUUGAAAUCCUUUAACUCUGAUCAAUUGGAGGGAAGUCUGGUGCAGAGCCACUGACCCAUGUGUGCUGCAGCUGAAACUCCACUA